CAACGUUUCAGCCCCCUUCUGUGGCUUUCCUCAGGAUCAUACAUUAUGUACGAUGUAAUGUAUGAUCCUGAGGAAAGCCACAGAAGGGGGCUGAAACGUU
This 100-nucleotide microRNA precursor is filed under the name Pelobates cultripes (western spadefoot toad). Lineage: Eukaryota; Metazoa; Chordata; Amphibia; Anura; Pelobatidae. The record is from RNAcentral.